This 468-nucleotide ribosomal RNA is filed under the name uncultured bacterium. Its description in RNAcentral is "partial 16S ribosomal RNA". It matches the Rfam family "Bacterial small subunit ribosomal RNA", at positions 28 to 507 of the family's 1533-position model. The record is from RNAcentral.
GACGAACGCUGGCGGCGUGCUUAACACAUGCAAGUCGAACGGAAAGGCCCUGCUUUUUUGGUGUUCUCGAUUGCCGAACGGGUGAGUAACACGUGAGUAACCUGCUCUUCACUUUGGUAUAACUUCAGGAAACUGGGGCUACUACCGUAUAGGAUCUCCUGCUGCAUUGUGGGGGUUGGAAAGUUUCGGCGGGUGGGGAUGGACUGGCGGCUGAUCAGCUUGUUGGUGGGGUAGUGGCGUACCAAGGCUUUGAAGGGUAGGCGGCAUGUGAGGGUGAACGGCGACAUGGGGACUGAGAGAGGGAGCAGAGUCCAACGGGAGGCAGCAGGGGCGAAUAUUGCCCAGUGGGCGGAAGUCGGAGGAAGCAACGCUGGGGGCGGGAUGACGGCCUUCGGGUUGUAAACCGCUUUAGCCUGUGACGACGCGGGAGUGACGGUAAUGGGUAAAGAAGCACCGGCUAACUACGUG